This 508-nucleotide ribosomal RNA is filed under the name uncultured bacterium. Its description in RNAcentral is "bacterial SSU rRNA". It matches the Rfam family "Bacterial small subunit ribosomal RNA", at positions 32 to 518 of the family's 1533-position model. The record is from RNAcentral.
AACGCUGGCGGCGUGCCUAAUACAUGCAAGUCGAACGCUCCUACCGGUGCUUGCACCGGGAAAGAAGAGUGGCGGACGGGUGAGUAACACGUGGGUAACCUACCUACAAGCGGGGGAUAACAUUCGGAAACGGAUGCUAAUACCGCAUAGAUCUUUUUUGUCUCCUGACAGAAAGAAGAAAGACGGUUUCGGCUGUCACUUGUAGAUGGACCCGCGGCGCAUUAGUUAGUUGGUGAGGUAAUGGCUCACCAAGACGAUGAUGCGUAGCCGACCUGAGAGGGUGAUCGGCCACACUGGGACUGAGACACGGCCCAGACUCCUACGGGAGGCAGCAGUAGGGAAUCUUCCGCAAUGGACGAAAGUCUGACGGAGCAACGCCGCGUGAGUGAAAAGAAGGUUUUCGGAUCGUAAAACUCUGUUGUUAGAGAAGAACAAGGAUGAGAGUAACUGCUCGUCCCUUGACGGUAUCUAACCAGAAAGCCAUGGCUAACUACGUGCCAGCCGCCGC